This is a long non-coding RNA of Gossypium arboreum, 371 nucleotides long. RefSeq lists it as uncharacterized. Lineage: Eukaryota; Viridiplantae; Streptophyta; Magnoliopsida; Malvales; Malvaceae. The transcript is spliced from 2 exons. The record is from RefSeq and is a predicted model, not a curated record.
CAAGUUCUCUUACAUAGCUAGAAAUAAAAUUUGCAGUGUCUUUACCUGUAAUGACUUUCUUUUCAUGAACCCUUCUGUUUCUGUCCUUCUAAAUAGCCUAGAGUGCAUAACAAAGUAACUUCCUCUGAUGGGUGGUACAAGAUUAAAAAUCCAGGACAUUGCUGGAACAGAUGAUCCAUUGAUUUGUCCACACCUCCAUACUGAGGGCAGCAAGAACUUCUCAGACUUUAAGUUAGCAAACGUAGGUAGAUAGUUCCAAGAAAUCCUCUAGAGUGUAACUUUAAUUUUUCCCGAAAGGUCUAGUUUCCAUAAGAGCUUAUAGAAAUCACUAGAUCUGGUUUGUAAUGCAUAAGCACUAGGAUCCUCCAAAA